AUUGAACGCUGGCGGCAGGCUUAACACAUGCAAGUCGAGCGCGCGGCGGGCGGGUGUGUAAUGUCUGUGACCCUGCCUGAUGGAUGGGGAUAACUACUGGAAACGGUAGCUAAUACCGCAUACCAUCAGAUUUUCCCAGAUGGGAUUAUCCAGUAGGUGGGGUAAUGGCUCACCUAGGCGACGAUCCCUAGCUGGUCUGAGAGGAUGACCAGCCACACUGGAACUGAGACACGGUCCAGACUCCUACGGGAGGCAGCAGUGGGGAAUAUUGCACAAUGGGCGAAAGCCUGAUGCAGCCAUGCCGCGUGUGUGAAGAAGGCCUUCGGGUUGUAAAGCACUUUCAGCGAGGAGGCGUUACUCGCAGAAGAAGCAACGGCUAACUCCGUGCCAGCAGCCGCGGUAAUUC
RNAcentral lists this ribosomal RNA (406 nucleotides) under uncultured bacterium. Its description in RNAcentral is "partial 16S ribosomal RNA". It matches the Rfam family "Bacterial small subunit ribosomal RNA", at positions 30 to 526 of the family's 1533-position model. The record is from RNAcentral.